This is a non-coding RNA of Malus domestica (apple), 2547 nucleotides long. NCBI's taxonomy places the organism in Eukaryota, Viridiplantae, Streptophyta, Magnoliopsida, Rosales, Rosaceae. The record is from RefSeq and is a predicted model, not a curated record.
UGCUUUCUUUUCUAUUCUUUUUUUCUUUCUCUCUCAUGUCUUUUAACCCCAUCUUUCCAUACUUCCAUCAAUUUUCUGCAUUUGGUUCAUUUUCUCCGUUUCCUUCCCUACCACCUUCCACUUCCCUUAAGCAAAUAUUAGAUCUUGCAAGGUUGGAUCCAAAUUGGGAUUUUAAUUUUAAGGUCUUAAUCAGCAGCGAAAAUCUAAGAUCUGAUUUUUGCUUGGGGACAGUUUUCCAUUUUUGGGUUAUUUUGGACACUCAAUGCCCACCUUGGCUUGCAGGCAACUUCGGAGGUGGGUAGCAAGAGAACAAGCGGUGGGAUGCUUCUAUUUGUUGGGGAUUAGGGUCUUUUCGAUUUCUUCAACUUUUGACCCUAAUGCUUUUUAUGUUUUCUUCUCUUUAUUUGUUGCUAAUGCCCUUCUUUAGCCUCACGUCUGAGGUGGCGGGUUCGUGAGUUUAUGGGUCAUGUUUCUCCCUUUCUUUGAUCAUCCGAGGACGAUGCUUGUUGAUGGCUCACAUAGGAUGCCACAAAAUCGUCCUCUAUAGAUCUCAUGUUGCGGCUACGUCCUUAAGGUCUUUGUUGUUUCAUAUUCCAGAGGUGGUGAUAAAAGGACGUUAGUAGCGGCUGUUAGGGUUUCUUUGUUUUCUGUUUAAGCUCGAAAUAUUGAUUUGAGCUAUAUUUUAUUUUGGUUUUAGGGUCCAUCUCUAUGUUUUGAGCUUAAAGUUGUGAUUGGGCCUCUCUAUGUAUAAGUUUUCUGGUUUGGUAAUAAAUUUACAUUUGUCAAAAAAAAAAAAAAUUAUUGUGGUUCCAGGUACGAAGAUGUUUUGACGGCUUGGUGACAUGGCGGUUAGUAUUAGUCUUUGAUAUCAUUCCCUAAAAUUUAUUUAUUUAUUUAUUUUACAGUUUUCGAUAAACCAAUGUUUAGCCUAACUUCGAAACCUAGCGAUUCAAAAUUAUAUAUACUAAAACUCAGUUUUUUGGGUUACUAUUGACCUAUAGUGUUCAGAUGGAUUUGCGCCUCAUUUUCUUCAAUGUUUUCUAAUUUUGGUGUGAUUUUAUAGUGGAGUGCAAUUUUGCCCUUGGUUGGUCAUCUCGGGGAAAGCUUUUCUAUUGCUUCCAUUAUGGAUAUCUCGGUCUCUCCAACUCUCUAAAAAAAUCCGGUACCAAAAAUCUCUUCAGUUCUUUAUCAAUUCUAGCAGCCACCGCCACCACUCAGACGGCCCCAAAGCUCUCAGCCAACCAAGCUCACUCAUUUGGCCUUCCACACCCACCCAACAAAACCCCCAAUCACAAUCGCAACAAUCCACAAAGGGGUUAUGAACAUCAUCAACUCGCCCAACACCUCCACUAUCGUGGGUCGUCUCAGAAUCUCCAUAAAAGAGCAUCUUUAUAUAUAUUUUAAACAGAGAAUUUCAAGCUCUCUUUCGCUCUCAAUGGUUGCUGACAGAAAAAAGAUGCUAAAGGUAAUUAGGACAUCAAAACUUGAUUGGUAAUCUGCAAAUCCACGAGGAUUUUGGCAACAUGGGUCGGUCCAAAUCUGAUUAGGGAGGGCUCUCUGAUCAAAAGGGCGUUGUUUUUCUGUACAUUUGAGAGAACCCAGAAGGUAGGAUUUGAUUAUUGUGGACAAGUUAAUAUGCGUUGCAGCUGCUUUGGUGCUUCGGUUGCUGAGAGGAAAAGGAAAUCUUGUUCUGGUUCUGGUCGAUUUGGCCAUGAUCUUAAUGAGAAUGUGUUGGAAAAUAUCAAGGCUUUCUCCUACAAUGAAUUAAGAUCCGCGACGGAUAAUUUUCAUCCGAGUAAUAAGAUAGGUCGAGGCGGUUUUGGAACUGUAUACAAGGCUAAGAAUUAUGGUAAAAGAGUUUAUUGUGGUUAGCUUAGAGGAAAAUGUGAGAUUAGCAAUUUGAAGAGUCUACUUUCUCCUCAUAUGUUUGCUUUAACAUUUGGUUGUUUUACAGAGUAACAGGUAGCGAUUCUAGAAGAGGUUUUCAAGGGGUGUAGUUGGCAUGUGCAGUGCACUCGAGAGUAGGGUUUAUUCCCUUUUGUUGUAAUUUCGUUGCCUAUUAUGUAUGAGUCCCAAUUAGCUCUAUGUAUUGUUGUAAUGCUACUUUCAGCUGCUACAUGCUGAUCCUUGGCGUAUCUCAAGAUGGGGGUGUGACAACUUUUGAUGAUAUCAGAACAUUGGUUCUUGGACCUUUGCAUUUCAACGGAUGCUGAUAACAUGCCUUGUUGUAUCAAUAGUGUCGAGACCUGAAAUUUGGACUUACUUGGGCUAGAGUGAGAAUUUUCUUUCAUCAUCUUCUUGUUUUCCUGUGUUUUCGUUUGGAAGUUGUGUGCCUUUGAAGCCUAGGCAACUAGAAUUUCAUUAGUUAGUUGAGCCUUGAAGUGAACCUAUUAGUUUUGAGAAUAAGUUGGUAGAAAAAUUUGAAGUGUGAAGGUCAUUUCUAUUUUCAGUUUUGAUUUUAGUGCAAGUAUUUUUUACUUUAUUUGAUUAUAUGAGUAUUAUAUAGAAGGAGGAUUGAGUUGAGUUUGGACGUAUGAAAGAGGAAUC